RNAcentral lists this ribosomal RNA (301 nucleotides) under uncultured bacterium. RNAcentral's name for it is "partial 16S ribosomal RNA". It matches the Rfam family "Bacterial small subunit ribosomal RNA", at positions 509 to 809 of the family's 1533-position model. The record is from RNAcentral.
CAGUAGCCGCGGUAAUACGUAGGGUGCAAGCGUUAAUCGGAAUUACUGGGCGUAAAGCGUGCGCAGGCGGUUAUAUAAGACAGAUGUGAAAUCCCCGGGCUCAACCUGGGAACUGCAUUUGUGACUGUAUAGCUAGAGUACGGCAGAGGGGGAUGGAAUUCCGCGUGUAGCAGUGAAAUGCGUAGAUAUGCGGAGGAACACCGAUGGCGAAGGCAAUCCCCUGGGCCUGUACUGACGCUCAUGCACGAAAGCGUGGGGAGCAAACAGGAUUAGAUACCCUAGUAGUCCCUGUCUCUUAUAA